GUCAUUGCAGACUCCUAUAUUUUGCCUUUCUCUGAAGUUCUUGACUGGAAGAGAGCAUCUGUGGUUGUACCAGAAGAAAAGAUGUCAGAUGUGUACAGUAUUUUGCAGAGCAUCCCCCAAAGACAGAUUGAAGAAAUGCAGAGACAGGCCCGGUGGUUCUGGGAAGCGUACUUCCAGUCAAUUAAAGCCAUUGCCCUGGCCACCCUGCAGAUUAUCAAUGACCGGAUCUAUCCAUAUGCUGCCAUCUCCUAUGAAGAAUGGAAUGACCCUCCUGUUGUGGUAAGUGAAUUCCAGUGCUAGCCACAUGAGGCAUGGUCCAGCUGUCAGGGUGGGUGGAAGGAAAAAUGUACUACAAUUGUAAAGGUUAUUUAAAUUCUAGCUUUCUAAGAUAAGAGUGUGCUUUUUAUACUUGGGGCCUGAUAAGGGCAGCAUAAUUUUGAAACACUGA
Molecule: small RNA, 448 nt
Filed under: Pongo abelii (Sumatran orangutan)
Lineage: Eukaryota; Metazoa; Chordata; Mammalia; Primates; Hominidae
Description: retained intron
Source: RNAcentral